Zootoca vivipara (common lizard) is the source of this 866-nucleotide long non-coding RNA. RefSeq lists it as uncharacterized. Lineage: Eukaryota; Metazoa; Chordata; Lepidosauria; Squamata; Lacertidae. The record is from RefSeq and is a predicted model, not a curated record.
CAGCACAUUGUCCAUCAGCGCUCCAUUCCUUCUGGCUGGGGUGUAAAUCCUGCAUUCCAUGAAAAAGAAAAUGCCAGGAUUCAUGCAAGGCUGAACCAUCGCUUCAGGCAUGUGAGAAAUGCCAAAGCCUUGAUCAAAACGGUGUCUUUUUCGUGGAGGCAGAAACAUGUUUGCAGUAUCCUGGCAAAGUUGGAGAACAAAACAAAAAUGGAAAGAAGAAAAUGGAGAGCAUACAAGGAAUUUGUAAAUGUUGCUUUAACAAUGACGCAGAGAACAAGACUCAUUUUUCCUUGGAAGUGUUGCUUGUUUUGACCUCUUCAUUCACAACUUCGCUAGACUUCUUCCGAUUAUGUACUUGAUAAUCAAAAAUGCCAUCAGAAGGCAGGAGUAAGAAUCCGGACUACAACCAGAGGAGGAGAUGACUGGGCAACCCAAACCCAUCGGUGGACUUUCUACCUCCAGAGAGGAGACUCCAGCAGUAGCUCAACCUGCAGAACAGUCUGUGCACAGCUGCAGGCUCAUGGAAACAAGAGCAGAUUUGUAACUGUUCCCAGCUCCUUGAUAACGACUGCUGGGCAGUCUCAAGCUGUUGUAUGAUGAAAACUUUCCACUUGAGCUCAUUUUAAUGAUAUCUCCAAAGAUAUGACUAAGUAAUCAAACUUCGGUGCAAUGAUAAAUCUUAAAGGACCCUCUUCUAGAGGGAGGAACGAUACUCUUAAAAAUGGGGAAAACAGAAACUCUUUCAGUGUCGGAGGGAAACUUGUGGCUACUGAGGGGGAGAUUAUUGUGUUGCUUGACUGUAAGCAGUUUCAGAUACUGCAAGUGAAUCAGUUGCCCAGUAAAAAAUCACAUGAAACGUCACAUAC